Molecule: long non-coding RNA, 730 nt
Organism: Gallus gallus (chicken)
Lineage: Eukaryota; Metazoa; Chordata; Aves; Galliformes; Phasianidae
Source: Ensembl
CCGUUACUGCCAUACCACUAAAAUCCAUCUCUAAUGUCCUAGGCUAACAUCAAGUAGGAGAUACUGCUUUUGGUGCAGCCCUCAUAUAAUCUCCAGCCUGCAGAGCAGUACACUUCCAUUGGAUGUAAAUGAUGCCAAGCACUGCCAGAAGCACCCAGGUGAUCUUAAGGUGUCAGACCAUGGCUGAUGAAUUACAAGAGCACAAAAAAACAGCAUCAACAAAAAUCUGCAUCAGUGCAAUAGAUUCUGGGUCUCAGAAGCCCUUCCUUCUGAAUAUAGGAGCAGACUGACGGAGAAGGAUUCCCCUCUUCUCCUCUGCAGGAAUAUUGGUAAUCCCAACCUUAUUUUAAACCCUUGGUGAAGAAAUACACCUGCAGAGGUAUUGCAGAGAACAUGAAAUCAGUACCUGCAUGGGUUCCAGCUGGGUUGUGUACAGAAGACAAACAGGUUCUCUGGGCCCCAUCCCCUCAGGAAAAAAUACGAUCUUAUCUUGGAAAUACACCAGGCUCCACAGCAAAAGAGCUGCACAAGAGCAGAGAACCCCAGGAAACCCUCAUCACAUGGAGCUGCAAAUUUCACCAGUGUUUCUCAUCUGCUUCUUCAGGGUCAGUCAGCUUCAGAAUUUAACACUGGUGAGCACCCCAACACUUCCAUGUUUGUAUCUCUAGCCCAGCUGGGUCUCAUCUGUAUUCACCUGAAGGGAGCUCACUGAACGUAAAGAGUGUCCCAC